GAUGAACGCUGGCGGCGUGCCUAAUACAUGCAAGUCGAGCGAACAGACGAGGAGCUUGCUCCUCUGACGUUAGCGGCGGACGGGUGAGUAACACGUGGAUAACCUACCUAUAAGACUGGGAUAACUUCGGGAAACCGGAGCUAAUACCGGAUAAUAUAUUGAACCGCAUGGUUCAAUAGUGAAAGACGGUUUUGCUGUCACUUAUAGAUGGAUCCGCGCCGCAUUAGCUAGUUGGUAAGGUAACGGCUUACCAAGGCAACGAUGCGUAGCCGACCUGAGAGGGGGAUCGGCCACACUGGAAGUGAGACACGGUCCAGACUCCUACGGGAGGCAGCAGUAGGGAAUCUGCCGCAAUGGGCGAAAGCCUGACGGAGCAACGCCGCGUGAGUGAUGAAGGUCUUCGGAGCGGAAAACUCUGUUAUUAGGGGAGAACAAAUGUGUAAGUAACUAUGCACGUCUUGACGGUACCUAAUCAGAAAGCCACGGCUAACUACGUG
Molecule: ribosomal RNA, 497 nt
Filed under: uncultured bacterium
Lineage: Bacteria
Description: partial 16S ribosomal RNA
Rfam family: Bacterial small subunit ribosomal RNA
Source: RNAcentral